GCCGAAGUGGCGGAACUGGUAGACGCGCUAGGUGCAGGGUCUAGUGGGCGUGCGCCCGUCGGGGUUCGAGUCCCCGCUUCGGCACCA
RNAcentral lists this transfer RNA (87 nucleotides) under Syntrophobacteraceae bacterium. RNAcentral's name for it is "tRNA-Leu". It matches the Rfam family "tRNA". Rfam says of the family: Transfer RNA (tRNA) molecules are approximately 80 nucleotides in length. Their secondary structure includes four short double-helical elements and three loops (D, anti-codon, and T loops). Further hydrogen bonds mediate the characteristic L-shaped molecular structure. tRNAs have two regions of fundamental functional importance: the anti-codon, which is responsible for specific mRNA codon recognition, and the 3' end, to which the tRNAs corresponding amino acid is attached (by aminoacyl-tRNA synthetases). tRNAs cope with the degeneracy of the genetic code in two manners: having more than one tRNA (with a specific anti-codon) for a particular amino acid; and 'wobble' base-pairing, i.e. permitting non-standard base-pairing at the 3rd anti-codon position. Lineage: Bacteria; Pseudomonadati; Thermodesulfobacteriota; Syntrophobacteria; Syntrophobacterales; Syntrophobacteraceae. The record is from RNAcentral.